CCUACGGGAGGCUGCAGUCGAGAAUUAUUCACAAUGGGGGAAACCCUGAUGGUGCGACGCCGCGUGGGGGAAUGAAGGUCUUGGAUUGUAAACCCCUGUCAUGUGGGAGCAAAUUAAAAAGAUAGUACCACAAGAGGAAGAGACGGCUAACUCUGUGCCAGCAGCCGCGGUAAUACAGAGGUCUCAAGCGUUGUUCGGAAUCACUGGGCGUAAAGCGUGCGUAGGCUGUUUCGUAAGUCGGGUGUGAAAGGCGCGGGCUCAACCCGCGGACGGCACAUGAUACUGCGAGACUAGAGUAAGGGAGGGGGAACCGGAAUUCUCGGUGUAGCAGUGAAAUGCGUAGAUAUCGAGAGGAACACUCGUGGCGAAGGCGGGUUCCUGGACAUUAACUGACGCUGAGGCACGAAGGCCAGGGGAGCGAAAGGGAUUAGAUACCCCAGUAGUC
This 445-nucleotide ribosomal RNA is filed under the name uncultured bacterium. RNAcentral describes it as "partial 16S ribosomal RNA". It matches the Rfam family "Bacterial small subunit ribosomal RNA", at positions 338 to 795 of the family's 1533-position model. The record is from RNAcentral.